RNAcentral lists this ribosomal RNA (430 nucleotides) under uncultured bacterium. RNAcentral's name for it is "partial 16S ribosomal RNA". It matches the Rfam family "Bacterial small subunit ribosomal RNA", at positions 29 to 506 of the family's 1533-position model. The record is from RNAcentral.
AACGAACGCUGGCGGCAGGCUUAACACAUGCAAGUCGAACGCCCCGCAAGGGGAGUGGCAGACGGGUGAGUAACGCGUGGGAACAUACCCUUUUCUACGGAAUAGCUCUGGGAAACUGGAAUUAAUACCGUAUACGCCCUACGGGGGAAAGAUUUAUCGGGGAAGGAUUGGCCCGCGUUGGAUUAGCUAGUUGGUGGGGUAAAGGCCUACCAAGGCGACGAUCCAUAGCUGGUCUGAGAGGAUGAUCAGCCACAUUGGGACUGAGACACGGCCCAAACUCCUACGGGAGGCAGCAGUGGGGAAUAUUGGACAAUGGGCGCAAGCCUGAUCCAGCCAUGCCGCGUGAGUGAUGAAGGCCUUAGGGUUGUAAAGCUCUUUCACCGAUGAAGAUAAUGACGGUAGUCGGAGAAGAAGCCCCGGCGAACUUCGU